This 86-nucleotide transfer RNA is filed under the name Caudoviricetes sp. Its description in RNAcentral is "tRNA-OTHER". It matches the Rfam family "tRNA". From Rfam's summary of the family: Transfer RNA (tRNA) molecules are approximately 80 nucleotides in length. Lineage: Duplodnaviria; Heunggongvirae; Uroviricota; Caudoviricetes. The record is from RNAcentral.
GCAGACAUAGCUCAAUUGGGAGAGCGGCGGCAAUUAAGGCGGGAUUGCUCGCGACGAUGCAGGUUCAAUCCCUGCUGUCUGCGCCA